RNAcentral lists this ribosomal RNA (376 nucleotides) under uncultured bacterium. RNAcentral describes it as "bacterial SSU rRNA". It matches the Rfam family "Bacterial small subunit ribosomal RNA", at positions 521 to 896 of the family's 1533-position model. The record is from RNAcentral.
UAAGACGAACCGUGCGAACGUUGUUCGGAAUCACUGGGCUUAAAGGGCGCGUAGGCGGGCAACCAAGUCCGGGGUGAAAGCCUCCAGCUUAACUGGAGAAGUGCCUCGGAUACUGGUCGUCUUGAGGAGGGUAGGGGCAUCUGGAACUAGCGGUGGAGCGGUGAAAUGCGUUGAUAUCGCUAGGAACUCCGGUGGCGAAGGCGAGGUGCUGGACCCUUUCUGACGCUGAGGCGCGAAAGCCAGGGGAGCGAACGGGAUUAGAUACCCCGGUAGUCCUGGCCCUAAACGAUGAGAACUAGAUAGUGGUCUUGAUAUGAGAUCACUGUCGGAGCAAAAGUGCUAAGUUCUCCGCCUGGGGAGUAUGGUCGCAAGGCUG